Equus caballus (horse) is the source of this 3461-nucleotide non-coding RNA. The record is from RefSeq and is a predicted model, not a curated record. NCBI's taxonomy places the organism in Eukaryota, Metazoa, Chordata, Mammalia, Perissodactyla, Equidae.
GUGAAAAUAGAAAGGAGUCUUUAUGGUCUCCUCUUUCAGGGCAAAGCGGCCAACAUUGACCUCCAUCCUGGGCUGGGGAUGAAGCGUGGCUACCGGGCGACAUGCAUAUUGCUUCACAUGCCACCUCUUGCCUCCCAUCUUAGGAAACUCAGCUGCUUGAUUUUUCACUCUCAGGAGAUGAGACAGCCGGUCUUGGGGGAAAGUGGAAACCGCAGCACACACGACGCAUUUUUCAAAUGCUUGUGUUACCCAGAGCCCUCGAGAACGAGAAAGGAAGCUGGCGGCUUGGCAGGUGUGGAGGCCCCUUCCCGCAGACAUCUGUCAGCGGCUGUGGAAGCCCAGCCCCCUCCUCUUUGCAGAGGAAGAGCCCUGGAUUCCUGGCAAGAGCAGGCAUCCGUUCCACCGGUAUGUUCCAGCUGCUCGUCAUCCUGGAAGGAGGGUGGAAAAGCAAGAGAAAGAUUCCUCCUGGUAGAGCCAGAGCCGCUUGCUCCUCAGAUGUCAGACCUACGCAGGAGUUUCUGCAGGCAGAGGCACCCCGCUGCACCCGGGGCAUGCGGGCACUGCCUGCCUCUGCGUGGGGGAGGGCACCAUCUGCGAUUCGGCCAGGGUCUGGGUGAGCCCGCUGACGGAAGUCGUGAUUUGGAAUAAGCACUUAGGGGUCGCGCGGUGGUCAGAGAGGCGAUCAGGCCCACCAGUUCUUAUCCCCUCCCGAUCAGGACCGAGGCUCAGCUGCUGUGACAUGCUACAGCCCACCACGUGUUCACGUGGAAACACUUCUACACGAUGUUGACCAUCUUAGUUGCCCUUUUUCACACCUUCCCAAGCAAAGGCCUCUGAAAGUGUGCCGCCCAGAACUGGACCUGAUCCGACCAGGGAAGGGUAAGAUGGAAUUGUUUUCGUGCUCCUUUCUUUUAACAGGGGAGAUCUCUUGCUUUGGCCUAUCGAACAUGCCUUUCCACUGUUUUGGGUGAAAGCACCCUGAUUUCCCAUUGGGGAAUUACUCUUCCCUUAGUCUGAGAAGUCUUGAGGGCCCUUCAGUCAAGAUUCUCCCUGCCCCCUCCUACUGGGAUGGUAGCACACAGAAACCAAUUUAGGCCGUUCCGACUCUGGUUCUUAGGCCUUUGAGCUUUGGGGAGAAUGAUAUAACAAAAAACAGUGGAGCAGAGACAUUCUGAUGGGGUGGGGGACACACAAAGUCUGUCCAUUCAAUCCUGCUAAUGUCCCCUUCCUCUUAUUCUUGAGGGUUGGCCCUUCAGCAUCCAACAACUAUUCCAUAGCUUUCUAGCAAAGUUCUUUUCCAAAUAAGUUUGUCAGAGUCUGUCUCAAUUGCUUGCAACUAAAGAACUCUGACACAAUCAGAUUACCUUGUCCUGGCUCUGUCCCUACAGGGGCUCACUGUGGGCCAGACUCCUAAAUCUAUUUCACAGGUUAUGAUCUUCUUCUAUUCACAACACUUCUGACACCAAAUGAGUGGGAGUUUUUCCCCACACCAACAAAUUCUCCAAAUCUCUGGACACCGACUAGGUGUUCCACAAUUUAACUCAGUUCUGACACCAACCCUCCAGAGUUAGCACAGAUCCCACAGGUUAGGGCUCAAUCCUACAAAACUGCUCCCACUUCAGAUGCCACACACAAGUCCCAGAGCCUCCUGUACUUCUGACCAGCUGGCUAUCACAGGUUCAAUAAUUUCCUAUAACAACUCACAGAACUCAGGCGAACACGUUACUCACUACUACUAGUUUAUUGUGAAGGAUAUUAUAAAAGAUACGAAUGAACAAAUGGAAGAGAUACAUGGGACAAGGUAUUAGGGGAGGGGGAUGGGGGAGCUUCCAUGCCCUCCAUGGGCAGUCACCCUCCCAGGACCUCAGUGUGUUCACCAACCCAGGAGCUCUCCAAACCCCAGGGUUUAGGGGGUUUUAGGGAGGUUUCAUUACAUAAGUAUGAUUGAUUAAAUCACUGGCCUUUGGUGAUUAGCUCAAUCUCUGGUCCCUCUCCCCUUCCUGGAGGUCGGGGGUGGGGCUGAAAGUUCCAACCCUCUAAUCACAUAGGCGAUGAGCUCCCAUCCUGAAGCUCUCAAGGGACCCCCCCACCACCACCACCACAAGGGUCACUUCAUUAGCAUAAACUCAAGUAUGGUUGAAAGGGGCUUAUUAUAAAUAACAAAGAUGCUCCUGUCACCCCUGUCACUCAGGAAAUUCCAAGGGUUUUAGAAGAUCUGGUACCAGGAACGAGGGAUGAAGACAAAAUACAUAUUUCUUAUUAUAUCACAGGAUCACACAGGUGCUGCCAUUAAAUCACAUGUCCCCCAGUUCUGUACUUGGAAAGUUGAUUUGGGACAAAAACACAGUCUUUGAGACCUUGAGUCUGUUGUUUGUUUCUGGUUGCCUGCUGACUUGGCAAUCUCACCAUCAAGGUCCAUUCAAGUCACUGGCAAAAAUGUUAAGCAGCUAAUUAUAGCUCAUGCGUAUCAGCUCUGUGCCAUCCUUCAAGGCAAGAAAAUCAGUGUUCACAGAGUUUUCCUAAUUGGCCAAUAAGCGACGGACCUGAGCUUCACACCCAUGUCUGUCAGCUCCAAAACCAGGGAGAAAUAAUGGAUUCUCUGACGAUUCACAGCCCCGAGUCACUUGGAGCAGAAGUUGUAGCUUCAACUGUUGCUGAAGACCUCGACAAAGGGGGGCGAAGAAGCCUAUGGAGCUAGCACCAGGCUGCAAAAGGCCAAGUCUCAGAUGCUGUGCGGGCUGACUAACAGAGCAGUACAGCUACAGACUGGAGUCACUGAGGGUUGAGGCGGAGGUUUAAGGCAUCAGAUUUCCAGUGAGACAAAGGCCUGGGUGGGGAAAGCUCCUCCCACCCAGGUUUUGUUCAGCAUCCUGAGCACGGGCAUCAACACACUGACACACCCCACGUGCACAUGUCGGCAUCUCACCGUGGCGCCCUCUUUCCAAUUCAGAGGUCACAGGAAAGACACCCCUGCUUUCUCACGGUGCCCCCUCACCCCAUCUCGCUGCCUUGCUCCAAUAGGAAUGGCUCUUAGGGUCGGAAAUUAACGACAUAAAAGGUCUGACGUGCCCAGAGAAAAGACAAACACUGUGGGGAAAUGUAAGUUAUAUAACAUAAAUUUAGAUGUCGCUUUUACUGAAGUUUUUUUUUCUCACCCAGAUUUGGUAGUUUAAGAUCCUAAUUUUAUAACCACGGUUGCUGGGAGAACCUCGACUGAUUCCGAUCACUUUAAACAGCCUUUUAUAGUCACAGCCUCCAGAGUAUAUUUCCUCUUCUUUUUCAACAUAUCACAUUUCUUGGCAGAAAUAUCUAGCAGAAAGCACCAAAAUUUUUAUAAUGAGGAUAAAAUCAAAAUUUCACACAUCAGAUUUCUCUUGUAGAUUAUUUCUUCCUGUUGAAUCUUUCCCUAUUCUAGCUUUAUUUUAGUGACUAAGAAUUGAAAAUUUGAUUUCAGCGUCGUU